CAAUAGCGUAUAUUAAAGUUGUUGCAGUUAAAAAGCUCGUAGUUGGAUUUCUGGUGGGAGCGAUCGGUCUGGCGCUUAGCGCGAGUACUUGCAUCGUCUCCGGCCAUCCUUGGGGAGAGUCUGUCUGGCAUUAAGUUGUCGGGCAGAGGAUCCUCAUCGUUUACUGUGAAAAAAUUAGAGUGUUCAAAGCAGGCUUAUGCCGUUGAAUAUAUUAGCAUGGAAUAAUAAGAUAGGACUUUGGUACUAUUUUGUUGGUUUGCGCACCAAAGUAAUGAUUAAUAGGGACAGUUGGGGGUAUUCGUAUUCCGUUGUCAGAGGUGAAAUUCUUGGAUUUACGGAAGACGAACUACUGCGAAAGCAUUUACCAAGGAUGUUUCCAUUAA
This 383-nucleotide ribosomal RNA is filed under the name uncultured eukaryote. Its description in RNAcentral is "partial 18S ribosomal RNA". It matches the Rfam family "Eukaryotic small subunit ribosomal RNA", at positions 592 to 976 of the family's 1831-position model. The record is from RNAcentral.